RNAcentral lists this ribosomal RNA (671 nucleotides) under Clitopilus giovanellae. RNAcentral describes it as "eukaryotic LSU rRNA". The stretch from base 240 to 393 matches the Rfam family "5.8S ribosomal RNA". The record is from RNAcentral. Lineage: Eukaryota; Fungi; Basidiomycota; Agaricomycetes; Agaricales; Entolomataceae.
CAUUAAUGAAUAAACUUGGUCGAGCUGUUGCUGGUCCCUCGGGAUAUGUGCACGCUUGCCACCAAUUUUAACCACCUGUGCACUUUUUGUAGACUGGAAACGUUUCUCGAGGCAACUCGGAUUGAGGACUGCUGCGCGAAAGCCGGCUGUUCUUGUGUUUCUCGGUCUAUGUCUUCAUAUACUCCGAAUGUAUGUAAAAGAAUGUAUUGCUAGGCCUUUAGUGCCUCUAAACCUAAUACAACUUUCAACAACGGAUCUCUUGGCUCUCGCAUCGAUGAAGAACGCAGCGAAAUGCGAUAAGUAAUGUGAAUUGCAGAAUUCAGUGAAUCAUCGAAUCUUUGAACGCACCUUGCGCUCCUUGGUAUUCCGAGGAGCAUGCCUGUUUGAGUGUCAUUAAAUUCUCAACUAUACAAGUUUUUUUACGACAUGUGUAGCUUGGAUCUUGGGAUUUGCGGGCUUCCACAAGUCGGCUAUCCUCAAAUGCAUUAGCAGAGCUUUUGCCGCUAACCUCUGGUGUGAUAAUUAUCUACGCCAUUGAGUUGCGACAUCUUGAGGCUUAGCUUCUAAUCGUCCCGCAAGGACAAUACUUGACAAUCUGACCUCAAAUCAGGUAGGACUACCCGCUGAACUUAAGCAUAUCAAUAAGCGGAGGAAAAGAAACUAACAAGGAU